Megalobrama amblycephala (Wuchang bream) is the source of this 281-nucleotide long non-coding RNA. RefSeq lists it as uncharacterized. The record is from RefSeq and is a predicted model, not a curated record. Lineage: Eukaryota; Metazoa; Chordata; Actinopteri; Cypriniformes; Xenocyprididae. The transcript has 2 exons.
UUUGUGUUUUGUCUUUUGUAUGAGUACAGUGGUAGAGACAGUGAAGAAGUGCCCUUGAUGAGGAAACCAUGGCAGCCAUAUAUACGUCAAGAAGAGAUUUCCAAAUGUGUCCAAAGAGGCUUUGAGGAUUUGACGUGGGGAAACUGAGACUUCUUGAAAGCAAAAAAGUUAUAUUUGUUUGAAUAUUGUAAUUUUUUGAACAUUGUAAAGUAUGUUCCUUGCUGAUUAUUAUUCAAAUGUUCAUGUGUUAUAGACAACAAAUAAAAGUUUUUCAAAUGUGA